Molecule: long non-coding RNA, 756 nt
Organism: Daphnia pulicaria
Lineage: Eukaryota; Metazoa; Arthropoda; Branchiopoda; Diplostraca; Daphniidae
Exons: 5
Source: RefSeq, a predicted model, not a curated record
UCUUAUUUACAGACAAGUUACGAAGAUUGACACGUUUUUCCCCUCGAGAUUCGUCUAUGUAAGCGACCGAAUGAUGUAGAUGCAGUAUUAGUUUCAUUUCGGUUAACGACUAAAGUAGACAUUUCAUCUUUAUUGGGUCUGCAGCUCCAUUCUAUACCUCGUCACAAUGAAUGCCAAUUUCUUUGCAGCUGUCUUGUUGACAUUUUCUGCAUUCGUCUCCAUCGGCUAUGGACUCCCGACCGGAGCACCAACCACUGCCUGUAAGGACAUGACGCCCAACCAUUUGAAUUACCGUCCGCAAACUUCCGCAUCUCCAUUCCGUACUGUUCCGGCAAAUACGUUGAUGGCUGCAGGAGAAAACCUGUCGACAUUUUACUAGAAACCACUACCACUAAUCAAUUCCGAGGUUUUCUCACCAUGGCGUUCGACGCCUCGAAUACCGGUGCCGGACCCAUCGGCACCAUCAGCAGCGUGAGUGACGGACAGGUGAUUGAAUGCACAGCAGGAUUUCUCAAUGCUGCUACCCAUGUGGACAAUAUAGAUAAGAGCCAAGUCAGUUUGGUUUGGACCGCCCCUGCUGAUUUCACUGGCACUGUAGUCUUUUGGACUACCUUUGUUCAAGCACAAGAUAUUUUCUGGGUCCAGGUACCUUCAGCGACUGUCACUGUGGCAUAAACUGUCAAAUUCUUUGUCUACCCUUAUUGAUUGUCGCCGCUUGUCGUAAUGCAAUUGAUGUGCGUUAAUCCAUUCAAAUGU